GAGUUUGAUCAUGGCUCAGAUUGAACGCUGGCGGCAUGCCUUACACAUGCAAGUCGAACGGCAGCACGGGAGCUUGCUCCUGGUGGCGAGUGGCGAACGGGUGAGUAAUGCAUCGGAACGUAUCCUGGAGUGGGGGAUAACGUAGCGAAAGUUACGCUAAUACCGCAUACGUCCUACGGGAGAAAGCAGGGGACCUUCGGGCCUUGCGCUAUCAGAUGAGCCUAGGUCGGAUUAGCUAGUUGGUGGGGUAAUGGCUCACCAAGGCGACGAUCCGUAACUGGUCUGAGAGGAUGAUCAGUCACACUGGAACUGAGACACGGUCCAGACUCCUACGGGAGGCAGCAGUGGGGAAUAUUGGACAAUGGGCGAAAGCCUGAUCCAGCCAUGCCGCGUGUGUGAAGAAGGUCUUCGGAUUGUAAAGCACUUUAAGUUGGGAGGAAGGGCAGUAAGUUAAUACCUUGCUGUUUUGACGUUACCGACAGAAUAAGCACCGGCUAACUCUGUGCC
Molecule: ribosomal RNA, 507 nt
Filed under: bacterium enrichment culture clone ALO1_GLFRUDD03GXODR
Lineage: Bacteria
Description: bacterial SSU rRNA
Rfam family: Bacterial small subunit ribosomal RNA
Source: RNAcentral